GUGGGGAAUCUUGCACAAUGGGGGAAACCCUGAUGCAGCGACGCCGCGUGAGCGAUGAAGCCCUUCGGGGUGUAAAGCUCUUUCGGCAGGGACGAUAAUGACGGUACCUGCAGAAGAAGCUGCGGCUAACUACGUGCCAGCAGCCGCGGUAAUACGUAGGCAGCAAGCGUUGUUCGGAAUUACUGGGCGUAAAGAGUGCGUAGGCGGUUAGGUAAGUCCGUUGUGAAAUCUCCCGGCUCAACUGGGAGGGUGCAGCGGAAACUGCCUGGCUAGAGUGUGGGAGAGGGAAGUGGAAUUCCUGGUGUAGCGGUGAAAUGCGUAGAUAUCAGGAGGAACACCUGCGGUGUAGACGGCUUCCUGGACCACUACUGACGCUGAGGCACGAAAGCGUGGGGAGCAAACAGGAUUAGAUACCCGAGUAGUCC
RNAcentral lists this ribosomal RNA (425 nucleotides) under uncultured bacterium. RNAcentral describes it as "bacterial SSU rRNA". It matches the Rfam family "Bacterial small subunit ribosomal RNA", at positions 354 to 796 of the family's 1533-position model. The record is from RNAcentral.